AUUGAACGCUGGCGGCAGGCCUAACACAUGCAAGUCGAGCGGGGUUUUCGGACCUAGCGGCGGACGGGUGAGUAAUGCGUAGGAAGCUACCCGACAGAGGGGGAUACCAGUUGGAAACGACUGUUAAUACCGCAUAAUGUCUACGGACCAAAGUGUGGGACCUUCGGGCCACAUGCUGUCGGAUGCGCCUACGUGGGAUUAGCUAGUUGGUGAGGUAAUGGCUCACCAAGGCGACGAUCCCUAGCUGGUUUGAGAGGAUGAUCAGCCACACUGGAACUGAGACACGGUCCAGACUCCUACGGGAGGCAGCAGUGGGGAAUAUUGGACAAUGGGCGCAAGACCUGAUCCAGCCAUG
This 355-nucleotide ribosomal RNA is filed under the name uncultured bacterium. RNAcentral's name for it is "bacterial SSU rRNA". It matches the Rfam family "Bacterial small subunit ribosomal RNA", at positions 30 to 396 of the family's 1533-position model. The record is from RNAcentral.